GCAAGCACUCAUAUUUGAGUCCAUUGGCCCUCCUCCCAUCAGUGUCCAUCUCCGGAUAGGUGCCUCCAAAUAAUAGAGUAAAUAUAACAGCUCUAUGAGUGCAUAGUCCAAUAAUAGCUCGCUUACUUGGGGUAUUUAUAUGAGUAAGUGCUGACCCACCACUUGCAUGAAGUGACAUCUGCUAUAUGAGGUGGUGAGCAUAUUUGAUCCCCUAUUGGUAUAUUUUAAGUAAUCUUCCAUUCUUGUUUUCUGUUAAUCGUCGUUUUCAU
Molecule: unclassified non-coding RNA, 269 nt
Filed under: Hevea brasiliensis (rubber tree)
Lineage: Eukaryota; Viridiplantae; Streptophyta; Magnoliopsida; Malpighiales; Euphorbiaceae
Source: RNAcentral